Molecule: long non-coding RNA, 1319 nt
Filed under: Gossypium barbadense (sea-island cotton)
Lineage: Eukaryota; Viridiplantae; Streptophyta; Magnoliopsida; Malvales; Malvaceae
Description: long non-coding RNA (GBAR_LNC002913)
Source: RNAcentral
UUCAACCACCUUAUACACAUUUCGACCGAUAAGUGGAUCACAAACUACACACCGUAAUGCGUAUCCUAUUUCAUAAUCUCGUUUGAAGAUAGAAGUUGGAUAUAUUUCUUGAAAUGAUAUACAUGCGAAUACUACUCUUGGCAGAUUCUUAUACUGGCUCUAGUGGCUGACAAAAUUUCAGUCACAUUGUAUCUUUAAGUCGAUCUAGACAACAAACUAAAUUUGAUAAAUGCAAUGUUUUUUAUCAUCCAAUAAAAUCCCAGAUGACCUCGAUACAUUAUGUGAGAACUUCCAGGUUUGGCAGGCACUUACACUGUAGUAGUCCAUUAUUGCCCGGGUUUUAAAACCAAAAACAAAAAAAAAUUAUUUAUUACAGCCAUGUACAAAAGCCCAAAUUAAUGGACCCAUUUAGCCUAAAUCCCAACUAAACCCAUAAACUGUUUAGCCCAAUAGCCCCUUUACAACCAGAUACCCAAAGACCCCGAGACCCAAUUAGCUUUAGCCUAAGUACCCAAGCCAGACCCAAAACUAGCAAGGCCCAUUGCCUAAACUAAAUCUGGAAACCCUAGGGUUUCCAGAAGCUUCGUGAAGCAAUUGAUGCGCCUCUUCACCUCACCCUGUAACUCCGGCCUCGAAUCACGCUGAAAUCAACGCAGAUCAGCGCCGUUUCACCUCGCGUCGUUUAAUUUACCCUUCAUCGGUGCCAUGAUUCCAGGCCCCGUGUCUCGUUGUAAUUGAGACGCAAAUCGACGACGUGAUCAAGUGCCCCUUCUUCUCCUCGAUCAUCUGCAAAAAUGGAAAGAAAAGACAGACACAAAACAAAUAUGGCAGGGAAUAUUUUUAAACAUGUAAAAAUGCUAUGUACAGUGGCUAUAAAAAGCCUGAUUCAGAACAAUGUAAGGGAUUUUUUUUAUAGAAUAAAAAGAGAAUACACACAUAUAUUCAGAGAACAAGGAAAUUCAAGCAGUUUCUUUAAAGGUGAUUUAAAUUUAUAUUCGGUGAUUUUAUUUUUUUAAAGUAUACAAAGCAAAAACUAUUGAUAUUUUAAAAAAGGGGGGGUUACUUGAGUCUUCGCUCGAAAGGUCGAGGGUUUUUAACCAUCCAGCCACCGUGUGUAGUGGCGCAUGUGGCGCGUGAGCAUGAGCUACUCGGUGGCCAAAGGCCGAGACUGAAACCCCUCUCUUCCCCUCUGCAGAGAAUUUCAAACUUUUUUUUAAGACUGGUGUAAAAUGAAUUUUAGACUUACGUUUUGACUUAUAUAACCUUCUAAAAACGGUGGCGUUUUAUUUAAUUCAUAAGCAUUAAAACGGCACCGUAUU